GUAGGGAAUAUUGGACAAUGGAGGAAACUCUGAUCCAGCAACGCCGCGUGGAGGAUGAAGUCCUUCGGGAUGUAAACUCCUGUCAGAGGGGAAGAAACCUUUGCCGAUGAAUAAUCGGCAGAAUCGACGGUACCCUCAGAGGAAGCACCGGCUAACUCCGUGCCAGCAGCCGCGGUAAUACGGGGGGUGCAAGCGUUGUUCGGAAUCACUGGGUGUAAAGGGCAGGUAGGCGGGCCGAUAAGUCGGAUGUGAAAACCCCGUGGCUUAACCCGGGGCCGGCAUUCGAAACUGUUGGUCUUGAGUGCGGAAGAGGGAGAUGGAAUUCCUGGUGUAACGGUGAAAUGUGUAGAUAUCAGGAAGAACACCGGUGGCGAAGGCGGUCUCCUGGUCCGCUACUGACGCUGAUCUGCGAAAGCUAGGGGAGCAAACAGGAUUAGAUACCCCAGUAGUCC
Molecule: ribosomal RNA, 452 nt
Filed under: uncultured bacterium
Lineage: Bacteria
Description: bacterial SSU rRNA
Rfam family: Bacterial small subunit ribosomal RNA
Source: RNAcentral